Molecule: long non-coding RNA, 214 nt
Organism: Erpetoichthys calabaricus (reedfish)
Lineage: Eukaryota; Metazoa; Chordata; Cladistia; Polypteriformes; Polypteridae
Exons: 2
Source: RefSeq, a predicted model, not a curated record
AACGGUAAUACUGCCUUUAUGAAUCCUGUACCAAAUGGCUUAUGAUUUAUGAUUCUCGAAUGUGGUGUUUUAUUUUAAUUAUGUAUUUUCAUUAUGUUAUCAUGUUUUGUGCUAUCAAAGAGAUUAAUAUUAUAUGAUAUGAAGGACCAUCAUGUUUAAUAUAUAUUUUAAUAAAUUGAAAUUAUCCAUGUCAAUAAAAGGGUAAGUGUCUCUG